Molecule: ribosomal RNA, 494 nt
Filed under: uncultured bacterium
Lineage: Bacteria
Description: partial 16S ribosomal RNA
Rfam family: Bacterial small subunit ribosomal RNA
Source: RNAcentral
AUGAACGCUGGCGGCGUGCCUAAUACAUGCAAGUCGAGCGAACAGACGAGGAGCUUGCUCCUCUGACGUUAGCGGCGGACGGGUGAGUAACACGUGGAUAACCUACCUAUAAGACUGGGAUAACUUCGGGAAACCGGGGCUAAUACCGGAUAAUAUAUUGAACCGCAUGGUUCAAUAGUGAAAGACGGUUUUGCUGUCACUUAUAGAUGGAUCCGCGCCGCAUUAGCUAGUUGGUAAGGUAACGGCUUACCAAGGCAACGAUGCGUAGCCGACCUGAGAGGGUGAUCGGCCACACUGGAACUGAGACACGGUCCAGACUCCUACGGGAGGCAGCAGUAGGGAAUCUUCCGCAAUGGGCGAAAGCCUGACGGAGCAACGACGCGUGAGUGAUGAAGGUCUUCGGAUCGUAAAACUCUGUUAUUAGGGAAGAAAAAAUGUGUAAGUAACUAUGCACGUCUUGACGGUAACUAAUCAGAAAGCCACGGCUAACUACG